GAUGAAGAACGUAGCGAAAUGCGAUAAGUAAUGUGAAUUGCAGAAUUCAGUGAAUCAUCGAAUCUUUGAACGCACAUUGCGCCCGCCAGCACUCUGGCGGGCAUGCCUGUUCGAGCGUCAUUUCAACCAUCAAGCCCCCAGGGGCUUGUGCUGGGGCCCUGCGGCUGCCCGCAGGCCCUGAAAACCAGUGGCGGGUUCGCUAGUCACACCGAGCGCAGUAGCACAUCUCGCUCAGGGCGUGCGGCGGGCUCCUGCCGUGAAACCCCCCACUGUAACCCCAAAGGUUGACCUCGGAUCAGGUAGGAAUACCCGCUGAACUUAAGCAUAUCAAUAAGCGGAGGA
RNAcentral lists this unclassified non-coding RNA (342 nucleotides) under soil metagenome. RNAcentral describes it as "partial contains 5.8S ribosomal RNA, internal transcribed spacer 2, and large subunit ribosomal RNA". The stretch from base 1 to 120 matches the Rfam family "5.8S ribosomal RNA", at positions 35 to 154 of the family's 154-position model. The record is from RNAcentral.